CCUACGGGAGGCAGCAGUGGGGAAUAUUGCGCAAUGGGCGAAAGCCUGACGCAGCGACGCCGCGUGAGGGAUGAAGGUCUUCGGAUCGUAAACCUCUGUCAGCAGGGAAGAACGGUCACUGUGCUAAUCAGCAGUGAAUUGACGGUACCUGCAAAGGAAGCACCGGCUAACUCCGUGCCAGCAGCCGCGGUAAUACGGAGGGUGCGAGCGUUAAUCGGAAUUACUGGGCGUAAAGCGCUCGUAGGCGGUAUGUCAAGUCACGGGUGAAAUCCCCGCGCUCAACGUGGGAACUGCCUUUGAUACUGGCAGACUGGAGUGUGUGAGAGGAUAGUGGAAUUCCAGGUGUAGGAGUGAAAUCCGUAGAUAUCUGGAGGAACAUCAGUGGCGAAGGCGACUAUCUGGCACAUAACUGACGCUGAGGAGCGAAAGCGUGGGUAGCAAACAGGAUUAGAUACCCUUGUAGUC
RNAcentral lists this ribosomal RNA (465 nucleotides) under uncultured bacterium. RNAcentral describes it as "partial 16S ribosomal RNA". It matches the Rfam family "Bacterial small subunit ribosomal RNA", at positions 338 to 795 of the family's 1533-position model. The record is from RNAcentral.